UUUCCGCAGGUGAACCUGCGGAAGGAUCAUUCAUAAUAAAGUGUUUUAUGGCACUUUUUAAAAAUCCAUAUCCACCUUGUGUGCAAUGUUAGAUCUCGUCAAUCUUGGCGAGAUUUUUAUACAUCAACUCAUUCUUUAACUAAUUUGUCUGAAAAAUAUUAUGAAUACUUAAUUCAAAAUACAACUUUCAACAACGGAUCUCUUGGCUCUC
Molecule: unclassified non-coding RNA, 211 nt
Filed under: plant metagenome
Description: partial contains small subunit ribosomal RNA, internal transcribed spacer 1, and 5.8S ribosomal RNA
Source: RNAcentral